GCGGUGCUUUGAGGAGUUUCAGCACCACCGGGGUCUCCCAUUCCCCCAAAUAAACUUAUUCAUGUCUUUCUGGAUUGCUUUGAAAUAGGAUUGGGGGAUUUUUAGUGGGAGGGUCCGAAAGACAUAUUGUAACCGUGGAAGCACUGACAUCUUCAGUGCCACUAUUCUUUCGGUCCAUGUAAGGUAGAGGGCCCCCCAUGUCUUUAAGAUUACUUUACUGUGAUUCCAGACCCUGAUAUAGUUCCUAGUUGGGAGGCCUGAGGGUUUCCUGGUAAAGAGGAGUCCCAAAUACUUUUUAUAGUCUGACUCCACUCAAAUGGGUAUGUCUUGCUCAGGGUCAACAUCUGGGAGGCAUGGAUUCCUAUCCCCAUUGCUUGAGUUUUCGAUGCGUUUAACGAAUAGUACGACAGCUG
Molecule: non-coding RNA, 413 nt
Organism: Pelobates cultripes (western spadefoot toad)
Lineage: Eukaryota; Metazoa; Chordata; Amphibia; Anura; Pelobatidae
Source: the annotation of a GenBank genome assembly